RNAcentral lists this ribosomal RNA (492 nucleotides) under uncultured bacterium. RNAcentral describes it as "partial 16S ribosomal RNA". It matches the Rfam family "Bacterial small subunit ribosomal RNA", at positions 31 to 507 of the family's 1533-position model. The record is from RNAcentral.
AGAGAACGCUGGCGGUAGGCCUAACACAUGCAAGUCGAACGGCAGCACAGUAAGAGCUUGCUCUUACGGGUGGCGAGUGGCGGACGGGGGAGGAAUACAUCGGAAUCUACUUUUUCGUGGGGGAUAAAGUAGGGAAACUUACGCUAAUACCGCAUACGACCUACGGGUGAAAGCAGGGGAUCUUCGGACCUUGCGCGAUUGAAUGAGCCGAUGUCGGAUUAGCUAGUUGGCAGGGUAAAGGCCCACCAAGGCGACGAUCCGUAGCUGGUCUGAGAGGAUGAUCAGCCACACUGGAACUGAGACACGGUCCAGACUCCUACGGGAGGCAGCAGUUGCGAAUCUUGGACAACGGGCGCAAUCCUGAUUCAGCCAGACCGCGUGGGUGAAGAAGGCCUUCGGGUAGUGCAACCCUUUUGUUGGGAAAGAACAGCAGCAGGUUGAUAAACCGAUGUUCUGACGGUACCCGAAGAAUAAGCACCUGCUAACUACGUG